AGUCAACAUGCCCAGGGGACGUGGAUAACCUCGGGAAACUGAGGAUAAACCGCGAUAAGUCACUACUUCUGGAAUGGGUAAUGACUUAAAUCUAUAUGGCCCCUGGAUUGGACUGCGGCCGAUCAGGCUGUUGGUGAGGUAAUGGCCCACCAAACCUGUAACCGGUACGGGCUCUGAGAGGAGGAGCCCGGAGAUGGGCACUGAGACAAGGGCCCAGGCCCUAUGGGGCGCAGCAGGCGCGAAACCUCUGCAAUAGGCGAAAGCCUGACAGGGUUACUCUGAGUGAUUUCCGUUAAGGAGAUCUUUUGGCACCUCUAAAAAUGGUGCAGAAUAAGGGGUGGGCAAGUCUGGUGUCAGCCGCCGCGGUAAUACCAGCACCCCGAGUGGUCGGGACGUUUAUUGGGCCUAAAGCAUCCAUAGCCGGUUCUGCAAGUCUUCCGUUAAAUCCACCUGCUUAACAGAUGGGCCGCGGAAGAUACUAUAGAGCUAGGAGGCGGGAGAGGCAAGCGGUACUCGAUGGGUAGGGGUAAAAUCCGUUGAUCCAUUGAAGACCACCAGUGGCGAAGGCGGCUUGCCAGAACGCGCUCGACGGUGAGGGAUGAAAGCUGGGGGAGCAAACCGGAUUAGAUACCCGGGUAGUCCCAGCUGUAAACGAUGCAGACUCGGUGAUGAAUUGGCUUUAUGCCUAUUCAGUGCCGCAGGGAAGCCGUUAAGUUUGCCGCCUGGGGAGUACGGUCGCAAGACUGAAACUUAA
RNAcentral lists this ribosomal RNA (754 nucleotides) under uncultured archaeon. RNAcentral's name for it is "bacterial SSU rRNA". It matches the Rfam family "Archaeal small subunit ribosomal RNA", at positions 102 to 859 of the family's 1478-position model. The record is from RNAcentral.